GAUUAGCUAGUUGGGGAGGUAAAGGCUCACCAAGGCGACGAUCGGUAGCUGGUCUGAGAGGACGACCAGCCACACUGGGACUGAGACACGGCCCAGACUCCUACGGGAGGCAGCAGUGGGGAAUAUUGCACAAUGGGGGGAACCCUGAUGCAGCAACGCCGCGUGAGUGAUGACGGCCUUCGGGUUGUAAACCGCUUUUGUCAGGGACGAAAAGGGACUCGCUAAUACCGGGUUCUGCUGACGGUACCUGAAGAAUAAGCACCGGCUAACUAC
RNAcentral lists this ribosomal RNA (273 nucleotides) under uncultured bacterium. RNAcentral describes it as "partial 16S ribosomal RNA". It matches the Rfam family "Bacterial small subunit ribosomal RNA", at positions 239 to 504 of the family's 1533-position model. The record is from RNAcentral.